Long non-coding RNA from Corythoichthys intestinalis (scribbled pipefish), 648 nucleotides. RefSeq lists it as uncharacterized. The transcript is spliced from 8 exons. The record is from RefSeq and is a predicted model, not a curated record. Lineage: Eukaryota; Metazoa; Chordata; Actinopteri; Syngnathiformes; Syngnathidae.
CGGAAAUGUCGUCAACCCUUGCGACGAAAACAAGUUACGUUAUUUCACCUCUCGCGAAAAAAACACGUUUGAAUGUUGUCACAUGAUCCAAAUAGGACAAGCUGCAAGAUCACCACCCCAUUGGGAAGAAACUAAAUCACGACCCCCAAAUGGUAGUCUUCCCAUGCAGAUACAGGGAUGUCACACAGAUCCAAAUGGAAACAUCGAACACUGUAAAACCCACUGUGCAGACAGGACCAAUGGUGACAAUAUAAGACCAUGCCGAGCUUCAUGGACGGUUCAAACUCAUCCUGCCCAGGAACGGCUGAAAACGUUGACAGUCAAUCAACAGGGGGACAUGGAAAGAGAGGAUUGGAAGUGAAAUAGAGGGUUUUUCGGGACAGCCAUAGGGGAAGGACUGUGGCAUCUUCAUGUUGGUAGACUGAUAUGCCAACUCUGAGGAAGUGGUGGUGUAUAUUGCUAGUGGACAAUUUCAAACUUGGGUGCAUGGUGAGCCACAGGAAAGAGUUUGCCCAUUGGACAGAUAAGGCAAAAGCAUUACUGCAGGGUGAAGUGCCACCAGUCUAUCAGCUACAGAAGUGAAAUUUGAAUAUAAUUGCUGAGGUCAGCUUUUAAAGACUUUUUAGUGUCCAUUACUCUGACGCACUU